Molecule: ribosomal RNA, 253 nt
Filed under: uncultured bacterium
Lineage: Bacteria
Description: partial 16S ribosomal RNA
Rfam family: Bacterial small subunit ribosomal RNA
Source: RNAcentral
GACAGAGGUCCCGAGCGUUAGGCGGAAUCACUGGGCUUAAAGCGUGUGUAGGCGGAUGCCUAAGUACCUUGUGAAAUCCCACGGCUCAACCGUGGAACUGCUGGGUAUACUGGGCGUCUUGGGCCAUUCAGGGGCGACUGGAACAAGCGGUGGAGCGGUGAAAUGCGUAGAUAUCGCUUGGAACGCCGAAGGUGAAAACAGGUCGCUGGGGAUGUGCCGACGCUGAGACACGAAAGCCAGGGGAGCAAACGGG